Long non-coding RNA from Gadus morhua (Atlantic cod), 462 nucleotides. RefSeq lists it as uncharacterized. NCBI's taxonomy places the organism in Eukaryota, Metazoa, Chordata, Actinopteri, Gadiformes, Gadidae. The record is from RefSeq and is a predicted model, not a curated record. The transcript has 3 exons.
UUUUCCACGUGUACAACCAUGCAUAGGGCUUUAUUAUGCAUCACGCCAUCUUCACCUCCACCACCAUUCUAGACUUACACUUAUAUUAUGUUGCAGAGCUCAGAGGUCCCCAACAGCUCUUGGUGUGAGAUAGAGGGGCUCAAGCACAGCAUCGGCUUGCUGAGGCGGAACGACCUGCAUUUGUCAACCCUCAUCACAGACAGACAUCGCCAGGUUGCCAAAUGGGUGAGAGAAGAGCUGUGCCCUGAAGGGACACAGCAUUAUUUUGAUGUCUGGCACAUUGGGAAAAGUCUGGGGAAGGCCUUGGAUACAGCCUCAAAAGACAGACAGUGUGAACAACUACAGUUGUGGAGGCCAGCCAUAGUGAACCACCUGUACUGGACUGCAGCCUCAACCCCUGAUGGCAAUCCAGCUGUGAUGGAGGCCAAAUGGAGAAGCUUGGUGAAUCACAUUCAGGACAUC